Molecule: long non-coding RNA, 473 nt
Filed under: Homo sapiens (human)
Lineage: Eukaryota; Metazoa; Chordata; Mammalia; Primates; Hominidae
Description: non-protein coding DSCAM-AS1:1
Source: RNAcentral
GGCUGGGCAGGUCACUCAUGCCUGUAAUCCCAGCACUUUGGGAGGCUGAGGCAGGCAGAUCACCUAAGGCCAGGAAUUCGACACCAGCCUGGCCAACGUGGCAAAACCCGUCUCUACUAAAAAUACAAAAAUUAGCCGGGCGUGGUGGUGUGCGCCUGGAAUCCCAGCUACCCAGGAGGCUGAGGCAGGAGAAAUGCUGGAACCCGGGAGGCAGAGGCUGCAGUGAGCUGAGAUCAUGCCACUACUGCACUCCAGCCUGGGUGACACAGCAAGACUCCCUCUAAAAAAAGAAAAAAAGAAAAGAAAAGAAAAGAAAAUGAUAUAUCCAUGAUGAAUUAAAAUGGAGUGGAACCCACUGAUGGGAAAGCCACAGAAGGUACCAGUUAUCCACUCACUGACUUAGGUGCCUCCACUAGAAUUCUCAGCACGUUUUUGCAGAACCUGGGCAACAAGAGCGAAACCCCAUCUCAAAA